This 216-nucleotide ribosomal RNA is filed under the name uncultured Lactobacillus sp. Its description in RNAcentral is "partial 16S ribosomal RNA". It matches the Rfam family "Bacterial small subunit ribosomal RNA", at positions 147 to 354 of the family's 1533-position model. The record is from RNAcentral. Lineage: Bacteria; Bacillati; Bacillota; Bacilli; Lactobacillales; Lactobacillaceae.
CACCCGGAAACAGAUGCUAAUACCGGAUAACAACAGAUGAUGCCUAUCAACUGUUUUAAAAGAUGGUCCUGCUAUCACUCUUGGAUGGACCUGCGGUGCAUUAGCUAGUUGGUAGGGUAACGGCCUACCAAGGCGAUGAUGCAUAGCCGAGUUGAGAGACUGAUCGGCCACAUUGGGACUGAGACACGGCCCAAACUCCUACGGGAGGCAGCAGGU